GGGCGGUUAACUCAGCGGUAGAGUGCCAUCUUCACACGGUGGAAGUCACUGGUUCGAUCCCAGUACCGCCCACCA
Molecule: transfer RNA, 75 nt
Filed under: Accumulibacter sp.
Lineage: Bacteria; Pseudomonadati; Pseudomonadota; Betaproteobacteria
Description: tRNA-Val
Rfam family: tRNA
About the family: Transfer RNA (tRNA) molecules are approximately 80 nucleotides in length. Their secondary structure includes four short double-helical elements and three loops (D, anti-codon, and T loops). Further hydrogen bonds mediate the characteristic L-shaped molecular structure. tRNAs have two regions of fundamental functional importance: the anti-codon, which is responsible for specific mRNA codon recognition, and the 3' end, to which the tRNAs corresponding amino acid is attached (by aminoacyl-tRNA synthetases). tRNAs cope with the degeneracy of the genetic code in two manners: having more than one tRNA (with a specific anti-codon) for a particular amino acid; and 'wobble' base-pairing, i.e. permitting non-standard base-pairing at the 3rd anti-codon position.
Source: RNAcentral